AACAAUCCAUAUCUUAGAAGUGAAAGGCUAGUGACUAGUUCAUCAAAGAAGGUACAUUCCUUUACAAUGCAAAUUUUUCUUUUUUGUAGUUUAAUUUGAACUUCUUUUGGUAAUCUUGUUUAGGACUAUGUCACAAUAUCAUUUGUCUUUGUUGGGUUGUGUUUUGGUAACGCUUGUGUGGGCCUUUGUUUUAUCUUCGAAAUUAUUUUGUUAUAUGCCUACCAUGUGUUUGUUCUUUUGCCUCUUUGACAUUCUUUGCCAAUGUUGGAAUCUAUGUUAGUAGACUUUGCAAUUUCCUAUGGGCUUGAACUUUCCUAACUACUAAUAUAUUGUCUUGCUCACAGAGUGUUUGAUAAAUGUCACCAAAGACGUCUUUUGUACGAUUCUUGGGAUAGUUUUGAUGGCUUGCAUUCAACUUUGUACUUGUUUAUUAUAGUCGCCUACCACACGUUCGAUACUUUGUUUCAUUAAGAUUUUCAUGCCUACUUGGGACUCACUUCAUUUUCUAAGACAAAAUCUUUUAAUUGAUUCAGGUGGACAGUUAACUUUAGUUGAUUUUGUGCAAGAACACUUCCUCCAUGCCUCCUAAAAAGAAAUCCAAGGCCAUUGCCUCUUCCUCUACUACUGCAUUUGAUCGUUGACGAUUCAUUAGUUCUAAAGCAAAGGAACGCUAUAGACACAGUGUGGUACAUCGGAAUUGCAUUCCUGAGAGGGGCCUUGAUAAUUUUUUACCAGAUAAAAUCCACAGUUUGGGGUGGGAGAAGUUUACUAAGCAACCUAGUGCUGCAUCAAUUCCUCUGGUGAAAGAGUUCUAUGCUAACGCCAAUGAACAUGAGAACUUCAAGGUUUUUGUACGGGGUUUUUGGAUCAAGUUUGAUAGUGCCUCCAUUAACCGGUUCUACCAUACGCGGGAUAUACCCAAUGAUGACUAUUCCCGACUCUGGAAUGAGGGGAUCGAUCCUGGGGAGAUAAUUCGCACUAUAGCUCGCCUUGAUACCGAAUGGAAAGGAUCAGCUAGUGAUGUAACCCACUUCUCUUCAUUUGAUCUGACGCCCAAUUGUAAAAUUUGGCACCACUUCAUAUCAUCCAAACUGAUCCCCAGUAGCAACACUAGUGAGGUCACAAAGGAACGAGCCUUACUGAAUUUUGUGAUUCAAAAAGGAUAUUCUAUUGAUGUUGGUCGAGUCAUCCAAAAUAGUAUUCUUCGCAUCCUUACCGGGCCCGCUACAGGCAGUCUGGGUCACCCCUCUUUGAUCCAUGACCUUUGCAUACAAGGGGGUGUUCCCGUGCGCGAAACUGAUGAAGUGUUACACUCGAAACAAUCACUUACACGGGACCUCCGUGAUAGGCGUGUGGGACAUCGGGAAGUGCCUAGCUCUUCUCAAUCAUCUCGUCCGUUACCCCCUACACCAUCACCCCCACAACCUUCAGAUGCUACGGGGGACGUCUUUCGGCGUCUUGAAGCCAUGGAUUUGCGCAUGAGCCGAUGCAGGAGGGCAUGCAAGUACAAAUGAAUCAUUUACAAUCCACCAUCUUUGACCAAUUUCAAUACCAGAAUGCUUGCAUGGCGGUUAUGGCAUCUACACAUCCCGAGCUCACCUUCCCUCCACCGCCAUCACUUCCACCUCAUUCCCACCCUCCUGCUCCACCUGAUGAAGAGGAAGACGAUUGAUGUCUUCACUGAGGUAUUUCUCUUCCCCUUCUUCCAUUUUAACAUAGGGGCAAUGUGUAGUUUAAGUUUGGGGGGAGUAUCUUAAAUUUUCUAAAAUCUAAAAUUGUCUAUUUUAUUUAUUUAUUUUGUAUGAUUGUGUGCAUCUAAAAAAAAAAUAAAAAUUUAUUUCAUGUUUUGCAUGCUUGUGUGAGUUAGAUAGCUUUGCUGGCGAUGAUGUAUAAUAUUAAGAACAUGUAUUGGUUCAUGGAUUAUGGAUAAGUUACAUGUGUGAGUUAGAUUUUUGUUUAUUCGUGUGAAACGGAAAUUAUUUUUGUACGUGGGUUGAUUGUAGCGUUGUACAUAAGUAGGUUGAUCUAUAUUUAUAGGUUCAAUAAGAGAACUUAGAUGCUAAACCCAAACAACCUUUAAACACUAUUAUACCCUUAAACCAAAUAUAGGUUGUUUGGUAGGUUAAGCUGUUGCAGGAAAACUUGGAGAUAAAUGUGGAUUCCAUGUGUGCUAAAUUUUGUGUGGAUUGUCUGAGACUAAUAGGAUGAAAAUUGGGCGAAAACUUUAAGUUAGAUGUCGAUUUUCGAGAAUAGGUGUUUAAUAAGGGGCAUUGCACUAAUCAUUGCAUAAAAAAAAAGAUCCCAAUGAGGACAACUUUAAUAAUCUCAUUGUGAAUCGUCUCUUCGUAGCCUUUAUGACUCGAGUAAUUAAGCCUGUAAGGGUUUAAAACCUAGUGCCCUAAAGUCGUCUGAUUUGGGAGUUAUCGACCUAAAGCUCGUUACAAUGGUCAUUUAGAAAGCUUGAGGGAGUGACGUCCACACAAAGGGUGUUUAAAGAAUACAUACGUGUGUGUGUGUGUAUAUAUAUAUAUAUAUGUAUAUAUAUAUAUAUAUAUGUCACAUACUUUGACUAAAUCCCGAACACUUGUUUUAGAGGAUUAAACCUUUGACGAGAGGUUAGUAACUUAGUUGAUUCCUAGAGGUUGAAGCAGUCAAAAAUAAGGAGAAUCCUCAUUUGUUGAUAGGUUGAACUGCAAUAGUGAAAUCUAAUCAAACUUGAGCGAUGUAAGAAAUUAGCAUUGAAAAAAAAAAUCAACUUUAGAAUACACCUUGGAAAGAGAAAAGAAAACAAGUUUGGGGGUGUGUGAAUCCCACGAGCGAGGCGAGGAAAUAUUUUACUUUUAAGGUCAGAAAUUGGGCCAAUUUAUUAUUGUACAGCGUUAUGCUUAACUCUCCACACACACACCCGUUUGCAUUGAAUGAGCGAGGAUUUGACGCCUGCAUUAUAGUUUUGAAGUACUUCAUGAAUUUGAUGAUGUUAAUCUUGAGCAAUAAAUGCAAGGUGUCUAACAUAAAGUUUCUUUUGAGUGACUUUGUCUGUCUUAGUUGUGUUUUUUGUGCUCGUUAAUAAUUAUCUUUAGUAUUGUGUUUGCUCGAGGACAAGCAAAGAACUAAGUUUGGGGGUGUUUGAUGAGUGUAAUUCACUCAUUAAACUAAAGUUUCUAAAUCAUGUUUUUGAUGUGUUCUUCAGCAUUUUUGAACGUUUUGAUGUGUGUGUGUUAGUGUUGUUUUGCAGUUUGGACAACUCUCGAGAAAAUACCACUAUUGGGAGUCGGUGAUGAGCAAAAAUGAUGAUCAAUGAAAUGGAGCAUGAAUAAGCAAGUAUUGAAUAAGAUUGGAGUAGAAAAUAGGCUUGGAAAAACAAGGAGAAGAGAAGCAAAGCAAUGACAUUGGCGCCAUGGUGCCCAAUGAAUGAAAAAAAAUGAGCAGAAACUUGGGCGCCAUGGCGCCUGUUCCCAAAACGUUAAAAUCCGAGUUUUUAAGUAUCUUUUCGGCCCAAAAAUCAUACCCUAACCCUUGAGGACCCUUAGAAAAUAUAAAUACCUAGAUGAAGAACAAGAGAAGGGUUUUAGACGGCUGAAGAGGCAAGAAAAAAGAGAGGCACCAAUUGAAGGAAGAUCCACCCGAUUUUGGAGAAGAAGAAGGGAGAAACUGAAAAAUCAAGCAACAAAAUUGAGAAAUAGAGCGGCAACCUGAGUUUUUCUUAUCUUUCUCUUCUCCAUGCGAUUUAAUUUGUAUUUUAUCAUGUUCUUCUUCUCAAUCAUGAACUAAGUUAUUAAAUCUAGGAUUUGAUGUAACCUAUUUGAGACAUGAUUCAAUUUCUUUAUAGUAUUUCCAUUUAAUUUUUCAGAAUUGAUUUGUAUUGUUCUUGCUUAAUGCUUUCAGUUGCCUGAUCACCAAUUGAAUGAAUUGAUGUUCUAAAUUCGAUGCUCGAGAGAGGGAAAUUUAGGUGUGAUCUAAGAACAAUAUAACCUAGGUUUGUAGGUUUCGAGAGAAAGUACGA
RNAcentral lists this long non-coding RNA (4003 nucleotides) under Olea europaea subsp. europaea. Lineage: Eukaryota; Viridiplantae; Streptophyta; Magnoliopsida; Lamiales; Oleaceae. The record is from RNAcentral.